GAUGAACGCUGGCGGCGUGCCUAAUACAUGCAAGUCGAGCGAACAGACGAGGAGCUUGCUCCUCUGACGUUAGCGGCGGACGGGUGAGUAACACGUGGAUAACCUACCUAUAAGACUGGGAUAACUUCGGGAAACCGGAGCUAAUACCGGAUAAUAUAUUGAACCGCAUGGUUCAAUAGUGAAAGACGGUUUUGCUGUCACUUAUAGAUGGAUCCGCGCCGCAUUAGCUAGUUGGUAAGGUAACGGCUUACCAAGGCAACGAUGCGUAGCCGACCUGAGAGGGGGAACCGCCCACCAGGGAAUGAGACACCGGCCCGGAUCCCACCGGAAGGAGGCGGUAGGGAUCUUCCGCGAAGGGCGAAAGCCUGGACGAGGAACCGCGCGUUAAGGAAGGAAGUCUUCCGGAUCGAAAACUCUGUUAAUAGGGAAGAACAAAUGUGUAAGUAACUAUGCACGUCUUGACGGUACCUAAUCAGAAAGCCACGGCUAACUACGUG
RNAcentral lists this ribosomal RNA (497 nucleotides) under uncultured bacterium. Its description in RNAcentral is "partial 16S ribosomal RNA". It matches the Rfam family "Bacterial small subunit ribosomal RNA", at positions 28 to 507 of the family's 1533-position model. The record is from RNAcentral.